CAGUUAAGAGGCUCCUGCACCCCAGAUCAGCAUGAGACCACCUUCACGGAAGCUGCUACCUGCAGUACCUUGAGAACCCUCAGACAAGCCUGCAGAAAACCCACAUGUGAGGGACUGAGGCCCUCAGUUCAACAGGCCAUGAAGAACGGAGACCUUCUAACUACGACUUGAGUGGGUUCAGAAGUGGAUUUUUCAGCCCAAGCAGAGUCUUGAGAUGACUGUAGCCUUGGCCAACAGCUUUGCUGGAACUUCAUGAGAGAACUUGCAGCAGAAAUACUUAGCUAAGCAGCUCAGUUAAUUCCUGACCCACAGAACUGUGAGAUGAUAAAUGUUUGUUG
RNAcentral lists this long non-coding RNA (338 nucleotides) under Equus caballus (horse). RNAcentral's name for it is "lncRNA (ENSECAG00000031138.3)". Lineage: Eukaryota; Metazoa; Chordata; Mammalia; Perissodactyla; Equidae. The record is from RNAcentral.